Molecule: long non-coding RNA, 3679 nt
Filed under: Citrus sinensis (sweet orange)
Lineage: Eukaryota; Viridiplantae; Streptophyta; Magnoliopsida; Sapindales; Rutaceae
Description: long non-coding RNA (CSIN_LNC003157)
Source: RNAcentral
GAGUGACAUAUGAUUGAAGCCUAAUUAGCUUGUUUAGAACUAUUGACAAUUGAUUGUUCAUUGACAUCUACUUCUUGAGAUUGUGGGUUAGUUCCAUGCUGUCCAAAAGGAAAAGGAAAAAAAAAAAAAAAAGACAUCAAUUUCAUUUAAUAAAAAAAAAAAGAAUCAAUCUAUUCAAUAUAAUUUCAUGAUCAAAUGAAACAUAUAUAGUACCGAGUUAUUAAUCCAUUUGAUAACAUAACAAAACAUAUAUAAGGAGAUUCAAUUACAAAAUCAGACCUGUGCAGUUGAUGAAGUGAUAUCACUUGCCUGCGCACAAAAAAAAUUCACCAAGUUUUAAGUAAUCUAAUGAAAAAGAACAAAAAAAUCCUUUAGAAUUAAAUUUUCAGAACUAGAUUAAACAUGUCCACCUGAUUAAGCCUUAUUUCUUCCUUACACACAACCAAUAUCACCAAGUUUUAAGCAAUAUCUAGUGCAAAAGAAAAAAAAAAUCCUUUUGAAUUAAAAUUUUAUAAUUAAAUUAAACCUGUGCACUUAAUGAAGUCCUAUUGCUUCCCUGCACAACAUCAAGAUCAAUAUUUGUUAACUCACAAAACGAAAUUUAAAAAACAAAAAUAACUCUUAUGUUAUACCUCUAUAGUUCUUGUGGUUUUUGGAAAAUUAGGGCAACCCCUUUUGUUGUGCCCAAGACAUAUGCAAGCACUACAUUUGAUAGUAAACAUUUUACUAGUUAGUUUGGUCUCACCAGGUUCUUUUGUUCUUUUCUUUUUCGGUCUACCAACUAGAGCCUUUAUGUCAAAUGGUCCAACUUUCACAGGCACCAUAACAUUAGGGGAAGGUUCAGCUUCCACUUCAGGCCAAGCACACUCAUCAGGAAUAGGAUUUAUAGUCCCCAUGUAUGUCAUCAUAAAAGAUUCCUUGGUCAGAUAAUGAUGCACAUAAUUUUCAGGUUGCCCUCCUUUAUGAAGAAUAGCAGCUACUGCAUGUUUGCAAGGCAUUCCACUAACUUGCCACAUCCCACAUUCACACGUACCAUCUGUAAUAUGUACCAGGAAGUUUCUAUAGCCUGCUUGACAACAUUCAAACAACUCCCCUCUACCUCCAAAGACCUUAAUUCUCCUUGCCUCAUUUGAGGAUUGAUUAGUCUUUCUCUAGCAUAUGGGGUCAAAUGGUCUUGCCAAGUUUCCCCUAGCUGAUAUUUUUUCAACAUUCUCACCAUUAGUUGUCUAUGAAUAUGCUCAAGAAUGGUUAGGAUAGGCUUAUCCCUAACCUCAUCCACCCACUUGUUAAAAGAUUUAGUCAUGUUGUUUGUAACAUGGUCAGAUUUCACAUGAUGAUCAAACCCACUUCUAGACCACUGUGCAGGUGGUAUUUUUCUCAACCAUUCACAACAAUUUUGGUCUUUAGCCCUAAUUUGACUCAUUGCCCUCUCAAAGUCAUACUGAUUUGCAGCCCUACAAGCUUUCCAGAAUAACCCCAUGACAUUCAAACCAGGAAACUUACACUUCAAAUUGGCAAAGAUAUGCCUAGCACAAUAUCUAGUACUAGCAUUAGGCUAAUAUUUUUCCAAUCCCCAUAAAAGACUUUUUUGUCUACCACUAAUAAUAGUUACAGACCUAUGAUCAUCAGCCCCAAUGAAUUCAUACAGCAAAGAUAAAAAAUAACCCCAACUAUCAUAGUUCUCUGCCUCACAUAUGCAAAAAGCCAGUGGAAAAAUUCCACUGUCAGCAUCUAAUGCAACAACAGAUAACAAUACUCCCAUGUAUGGCCCCUUCAAAUGACACCUAUCCAAUCCUAUGAAAGGUCUACACCCAGUUAGGUACCCCACUUUAAGUGCAGGAAAUGACAAAAAAAACUUUUGAAAAACUGGGCUAUUUGACAAUGGCCUAUCAACCUUUACCUUAACACAAGCACCUCUAUUCAUUUUCAUUAGAAUGUGAGCAUAUUUCAAAAGCUUUCCAUAGCAAGCAAUGUGGUCAGCACCUAGGUUUUUUAAUGCAAUUUUUUUUCCCUAUAUAGUUUUUGCUUGUCACAUUCAAUCCCAUUUUUAUGUUUUAACUCACUCCUUAUGACAUUUACACCAACUCCUGGGUUAGUUUGAAUAAGUUCAGCACAAACUUUAGCUAUCCAAGGUGUUGUUGCAUCUUUGUUAACUGAUUUAAUCUGGCAAUCAUGUUUCCCUUUAAUAUACCUAAUUUUAAAAGUUAUCCCAUCAACCAUCGAUGAAGCAUGAAGUUUCCAAGUGCAUUUUGGAUUGACACAACAACAAGUAUACCUAACACCAUCAUUUUUAAUCCUAUUUAACUCAAAACUCUCUUGGAUUGCAUAUUUCACCAUAACCUCUCUUAAUAAUGCAACAGAUUCAAAGGUAUUUCCUACUUUUAGACUAACUGAACCAUUUAGAUUUGGUUUCCACUCAUUAUCAACAAUGGAUUCAUACAUCUAUGAGAGACUAUUCUCUUCAUCAGAUGAGUGCCCUCCGAUAAAGCCAUCCUCACUAAGUUUUUCAAACUUAUCACUACCCAUACUAACACCUAUAUUGACAGGAUUUUCAGAUCCUAUUACAACACUUUCAUGACAUGAUUGACCACCUAACCCAGUGUGCACCAUAAACUCAAUAACAGGACAACUGUUAGUAAAAAUCUCCUCAAAGACCGAAUACAAUUCACUAUCAUUUGAAAUUAGCUUCCUCUGCCUACUUGUAGUCCAUGGCAACACAACAGAAAUUUCAAUCAAAUCCAUUUCAUUGUGUCCAUACUUAACCAUGACUUCUAGAAUUUCAUGAAACAACCUAAUAAUCUUAUAUUCCUCUGGGUCCCUAUAUCCUAUCUCAUACACCGCCCCAUUAAUUUUAACCAGCAAAAAAAAAGGUAACAUGACUACCUGCAUCAAUUUUAAACAAAAAGUAUUGCAUCAAAAAAUGGCUAAACUAAUACAAUUUUAUUUAGCAAAGAAUAAAAAACUCAACCUAAAUGGAAUAUACAUGUAAUUCGGUUUAAAAAGGUAUAAAAGAAAAUUCAAUCUAAUACAUAUAAAAAUAAAAAUUGAAAAGAAAAAAUAACCCAACAACUAUAGAGAAUUUAGUCUAAUAUAUAUAAAAAUUACCACUCAUAAUAACACAUAGAAUUCAAUUUUACAUGAACAAAAAAGCAAAUACAAUGAAUUCAAUCUUAUUAAUAUAACGAUACCAAUUGGUUGAAAUGAAAUAUUGUACAUAUACAACAACUCAAGAAAGCCCAUAAAAUAGGCAAAAUAAGUUCAAUAAAUACAUAUAUAAAUAUGGUGUAUUUGGUCUAAUUAUUAUAUAAAGAGCAAAUUAAAAAAAGUAUAUUAACAAAAUACAACAUUCAAUAAAAAAAAUCCACCAAUAAUUAAACAUAGUUUGUCAUUUAGAAAAAUAGACUUGAAAAACUUAAUUUUUCACAAAGAUCGCUAAAUAUGGAAACAAUUUUAUCAGAAAAUGCUUGCAAAAAUCACUUAAAAAUUAGAGUUACUAACCUUUAAACUCGGGUUCUCUCCAAUACUUGAACUCAACCAAUGCUAACAAAGCUUUGGUCAAAAUCACAUUAGAUUUAUACAACAUUUUUGGCGCCAUCCCACAUUCUCUCAAUCUCUCCUCUCACACGAAGAAUAUGGCAGUUUCUUCUAGAGAUUUUUUUUUUUUUUUCCCCGCUUGAAA